Molecule: ribosomal RNA, 780 nt
Filed under: uncultured Desulfosporosinus sp.
Lineage: Bacteria; Bacillati; Bacillota; Clostridia; Eubacteriales; Desulfitobacteriaceae
Description: bacterial SSU rRNA
Rfam family: Bacterial small subunit ribosomal RNA
Source: RNAcentral
AGAGUUUGAUCAUGGCUCAGGACGAACGCUGGCGGCGUGCCUAACACAUGCAAGUCGAACGGAGAAUUUCAAUAAGCUUGCUUAGCGAAAUUUUUAGUGGCGGACGGGUGAGUAACGCGUGGGUAACCUACCCAUAAACCCGGGACAACCCUUGGAAACGAGGGCUAAUACCGGAUAAUCUUAAGUCUUGGCAUCAAGGUUUAAGGAAAGGUGGCCUCUGAAGAUGCUACCGAUUAUGGAUGGACCCGCGUCUGAUUAGCUAGUUGGUGGGGUAAAGGCCUACCAAGGCGACGAUCAGUAGCCGGCCUGAGAGGGUGAACGGCCACACUGGGACUGAGACACGGCCCAGACUCCUACGGGAGGCAGCAGUGGGGAAUCUUCCGCAAUGGACGAAAGUCUGACGGAGCAACGCCGCGUGUAUGAUGAAGGUCUUCGGAUUGUAAAGUACUGUCUUUGGGGAAGAAUGACGGAUUUGAAAAUAUUGAGUUCGUAUGACGGUACCCAAGGAGGAAGCCCCGGCUAACUACGUGCCAGCAGCCGCGGUAAUACGUAGGGGGCAAGCGUUGUCCGGAAUUAUUGGGCGUAAAGGGCGCGUAGGCGGAUGUUUAAGUCCGGUGUGAAAGAUCAGGGCUCAACCCUGAGAGUGCAUCGGAAACUGGGCAUCUUGAGGACAGGAGAGGAAAGUGGAAUUCCACGUGUAGCGGUGAAAUGCGUAGAUAUGUGGAGGAACACCAGUGGCGAAGGCGACUUUCUGGACUGUAACUGACGCUGAGGCGCGAA